GAUGAACGCUGGCGGCGUGCCUAAUACAUGCAAGUCGAGCGAAUGGAUUAAGAGCUUGCUCUUAUGAAGUUAGCGGCGGACGGGUGAGUAACACGUGGGUAACCUGCCCAUAAGACUAGGAUAACUCCGGGAAACCGGGGCUAAUACCGGAUAACAUUUUGAACCGCAUGGUUCGAAAUUGAAAGGCGGCUUCGGCUGUCACUUCUGGAUGGACCCGCGUCGCAUUAGCUAGUUGGUGAGGUAACGGCGCACCAAGGCAACGAUGCGUAGCCGACCUGAGAGGGUGAUCGGCCACACUGGGACUGAGACACGGCCCAGACUCCUACGGGAGGCAGCAGUAGGGAAUCUUCCGCAAUGGACGAAAGUCUGACGGAGCAACGCCGCGUGAGUGAUGAAGGCUUUCGGGUCGUAAAACUCUGUUGUUAGGGAAGAACAAGUGCUAGUUGAAUAAGCUGGCACCUUGACGGUACCUAACCAGAAAGCCACGGCUAACUACGUGCCAGCCGCCGCCGUAA
This 515-nucleotide ribosomal RNA is filed under the name uncultured bacterium. RNAcentral's name for it is "partial 16S ribosomal RNA". It matches the Rfam family "Bacterial small subunit ribosomal RNA", at positions 28 to 523 of the family's 1533-position model. The record is from RNAcentral.